AUUACUUCUUGACCUUUUUACUAAGAUCAAGUGUAAUAUCUGUUCUUAUCAGUUUAACAUCUAUCACUUAAUGUAAAAAAGAUGUCUUUCUUUUGUAUUCCAUUCAACAAGACUUUACACGCAUAUUCCAUGUGCAGCCUAGUAGUAGACUGUGGAAACCAAUGGACUGAUGGCUCUGACAAACUAGUCAGU
This is a small nuclear RNA of Microtus ochrogaster (prairie vole), 192 nucleotides long. RefSeq annotates it as U2 spliceosomal RNA. The transcript has a single exon. The record is from RefSeq and is a predicted model, not a curated record. NCBI's taxonomy places the organism in Eukaryota, Metazoa, Chordata, Mammalia, Rodentia, Cricetidae.